Molecule: ribosomal RNA, 779 nt
Filed under: marine metagenome
Description: bacterial SSU rRNA
Rfam family: Bacterial small subunit ribosomal RNA
Source: RNAcentral
AGAGUUUGAUCCUGGCUCAGGAUGAACGCUGGCGGCGUGCUUAACACAUGCAAGUCGAACGAACCUUCGGGUUAGUGGCGGACGGGUGAGUAACGCGUGAGAAUCUGCCCUCAGGAGGGGGAUAACGGUUGGAAACGACCGCUAAUACCCCAUAUGCCUACUGGUGAAAUGAAUUUCGCCUGAGGAUGAGCUCGCGUCUGAUUAGCUAGUUGGUGAGGUAAUGGCUCACCAAGGCUUCGAUCAGUAGCUGGUCUGAGAGGAUGAUCAGCCACACUGGGACUGAGACACGGCCCAGACUCCUACGGGAGGCAGCAGUGGGGAAUUUUCCGCAAUGGGCGAAAGCCUGACGGAGCAACGCCGCGUGAGGGACGAAGGCCUCUGGGCUGUAAACCUCUUUUCUCAAGGAAGAAGAUAUGACGGUACUUGAGGAAUAAGCCACGGCUAAUUCCGUGCCAGCAGCCGCGGUAAUACGGGAGUGGCAAGCGUUAUCCGGAAUUAUUGGGCGUAAAGCGUCCGCAGGCGGCUUUUCAAGUCUGCUGUUAAAGCGUGGAGCUUAACUCCAUCAUGGCAGUGGAAACUGAAAGGCUUGAGUAUGGUAGGGGCAGAGGGAAUUCCCGGUGUAGCGGUGAAAUGCGUAGAUAUCGGGAAGAACACCAGUGGCGAAGGCGCUCUGCUGGGCCAUUACUGACGCUCAUGGACGAAAGCCAGGGGAGCGAAAGGGAUUAGAUACCCCUGUAGUCCUGGCCGUAAACGAUGAACACUAGGUGUCGGGGGGAAUC